GAGCGAACUCUCUGGGAGCUUGCUCCCAAAAGUUAGCGGCGGACGGGUGAGUAACACGUGGGCAACCUGCCUAUAAGACUGGGAUAACUUCGGGAAACCGGAGCUAAUACCGGAUAAUUCUUUUCCUCUCAUGAGGAAAAGCUGAAAGACGGUUUACGCUGUCACUUAUAUAUGGGCCCGCGGCGCAUUAGCUAGUUGGUGAGGUAACGGCUCACCAAGGCAACGAUGCGUAGCCGACCUGAGAGGGUGAUCGGCCACACUGGGACUGAGACACGGCCCAUACUCCUACGGGAGGCAGCAGUAGGGAAUCUUCCGCAAUGGACGAAAGUCUGACGGAGCAACGCCGCGUGAGUGAUGAAGGUUUUCGGAUCGUAAAACUCUGUUGUUAGGGAAGAACAAGUACGAGAGUAACUGCUCGUACCUUGACGGUACCUAACCAGAAAGCCACGGCUAACUACGUGCCAGCAGCCGCGGUAAU
This 478-nucleotide ribosomal RNA is filed under the name uncultured bacterium. RNAcentral's name for it is "bacterial SSU rRNA". It matches the Rfam family "Bacterial small subunit ribosomal RNA", at positions 64 to 524 of the family's 1533-position model. The record is from RNAcentral.